This 190-nucleotide long non-coding RNA is filed under the name Fukomys damarensis (Damara mole-rat). RNAcentral's name for it is "lncRNA (ENSFDAG00000032864.1)". Lineage: Eukaryota; Metazoa; Chordata; Mammalia; Rodentia; Bathyergidae. The record is from RNAcentral.
AAAGAAUUUUCACAUCCCCCAUGAUUUCAGGUGGUGUCCGGCAACCGAAUCAUGGAAGUCUGGGGCAUGCUGAGGAGGAAAGGUCCAUCUGACUUGGAGCUGGCGAAAUCUGGAAGAUAGAAUUUAUACAAGCAUGUUAAAUCAAGAGGGACUAAAAAUUAAAAAUAGAAACCAAAUGGCGAAUAGUGAC